UCCAUUACCAACCCUGGGGCGCCCCGGGGUCAAACAUGCAGCGUGGGGAUACGCGUUGGCCUUUGCUGCGCCAUUUCAAGUUUAGUUUAUUAUACAGGAAUAUAAUUCUGUAACACUAUAAUAUAAAUUUUAAAAUGCAGUUUAACAAUCAGUUAUAAACAAUUGGAAUACUGUUAUUUAUGAUCAUAUUAAUAAUACUUCUUUUUCUCUUUAUCAUGGUUUAUUCCGCUAUUUUUCCCAAUUUAAAAAGCACAGGCUGUAAGAUACAAUACAAGAAAAUCACUGGAAACAUUUUUGUAAGUUUUUUUUCAUUUUCAGACACUGUUAAUUACUUCCAGGGCCAAAAAACCCUUCUUCCCAAGGGGCCUCUUUUUCUUCCCCUUAACCAAAAAGGCCCUUUCCCCUACAGAAAUUUCUUUAAAAUCAUGCAUUUUUCUCUAAGUUUCAAAUCAUUCCCAAAAGCCAGAAAAUUGUGUCUUUUUUUCCCCUGAUAAAAAAGGCUGUGACCCUUUCCCCAAAGUUGGUGUUUUGGCCCUGACUUCAAAAGCUAUAUGCCUAUUUAUACAUAUUAGUUUCUUUUUUUUGGUAGAACAACAGGUUGAUAAAGAAUAUGUCACAGCUGUUAAUCACGCGCGCCACCUCUUUUUUGCGAUUCAUUAAUAAAUGAGCCAAUGCUACUUCCGAGGUGGCGCUAAUGACCGGAUGUUUUGAAAUUUCACGGAUAAUUGUACAAGCACGGACAUGAAUAAAGGAAACUAAAAAAAUAUAUGAAUGCAAAUCGUGUAACAAGUCAUUCACCACAAACAGCAGGCUGAAGUUCCACGUCAAAAACGGUAAUGUGAUUGGUAUGCAACCGUCGGUUUAGUUCCGUGUACAACUUAAAAGUACACCCAGUGCACCAGAAAGAUGUAGACGCGGGUUAAUGUUUGACAUGAUUUUCAACAAAGACGGAUUUGGGUAAUCAUUGUCGUCAGUAUCACGGCAGGGAGAAAUUGAAAUGUGAACAUGCAGAAUUUGGCUAUAUCCGAAACCUUAAACGCCAAGCACAGAUUUGCAGUGAUGGUCAAAACAAAACGCAUACAUGUGAUGAUUGUCAAAAAAUGUAUAGAUCCAAAGGAGCCCUAUAUAUGCACACCAGAGUUUAACACUUAGGGGAACAUUUGCAUUUUGCCAGAUUUGCGGGAAAAAGUUUGAGAAGGAAUUUUCACUUUCUCGGCACUUGAAAAAUGUGCACAAGAAUACAUGUAGGAGCAAUUUGCCAGAGUUGUUGAUUUGUUUAUUUAUGUAACGGGGGUUUUUCAGCACUGUCUGCGCCUCCGGAAAAUGGAGGCAUACCCAAAGCAAACGGACAGGAUCCCAAACCGAAAUUAUAAAAAAAAUUCCCAAUUCAAAAAAAAAAAAAAAAAUUCUGUUUUUAGAAAAAAGUGUCUUAUGACUUAUGAUUAUUAGUUUGUGAGAAGAAGUGUCUUAUGACUUAUGAUUAUCAGAUUAUUAUUAACCUGCUGUGCUCCCUAUUACCACACGGUUUGGUUUAAACAUACUCAUCUGAUGCUUACACUUUGUACCUGCAUUAAAGGUCUAGUGACAAAUGACAAAACAUUGGAGGAGCUGUGUGAUGCUUUCACAAACAGAAAGUAGAGAAAAAUUAUGCAAAUUGUGUCACUAACCAGUGUUUGUUUUCGUCAAAAAUAUCUGCUUUAAGUUUUUGACGGUACAUUUCUUAUCUCAGAGUGUAACUGAAACUGAAAGACAAAAUUGCAGUACUUGAAUAAACGUUGAACAUGCCAGAUAUUGCAUGUGUUUAUAUAAAAAAGACAAAAUAACAAAUAAAAAAUUUAUUUGUUUAA
This is a long non-coding RNA of Dreissena polymorpha, 1847 nucleotides long. RefSeq lists it as uncharacterized. The transcript has 2 exons. The record is from RefSeq and is a predicted model, not a curated record. NCBI's taxonomy places the organism in Eukaryota, Metazoa, Mollusca, Bivalvia, Myida, Dreissenidae.